GGAAGGGAUGUAUUUAUUAGAUAAAAAAUCAAUGCCUUCGGGCUCUUUGAUGAUUCAUAAUAACUUUUCGAAUCGCAUGGCCUUGUGCUGGCGAUGGUUCAUUCAAAUUUCUGCCCUAUCAACUUUCGAUGGUAGGAUAGUGGCCUACCAUGGUUUCAACGGGUAACGGGGAAUAAGGGUUCGAUUCCGGAGAGGAGGCCUGAGAAACGGCUACCACAUCCAAGGAAGGCAUCAGGCGCGCAAAUUACCCAAUCCCGACACGGGGAGGUAGUGACAAUGGAUAACGAUACAGGGCCCUUUUGGGUCUUGUAAUUGGAAUGAGUACAAUGUAAAUACCUUAACGAGGAACAAUUGGAGGGCAAGUCUGGUGCCAGCAGCCGCGGUAAGGCCAGCUCCAAAAGCGUAUAUUAAAGUUGUUGCAGUUAAAAAGCUCGUAGUUGAACCUUGGGCUUGGCUGGCCGGUCCAUCUUUUUGAUGCGUACUGGACCCAGCCGAGCCUUUCCUUCUGGGUAGCCAUUUAUGGCGAACCAGGACUUUUAC
Molecule: ribosomal RNA, 540 nt
Filed under: uncultured Candida
Lineage: Eukaryota; Fungi; Ascomycota; Saccharomycetes; Saccharomycetales
Description: SSU rRNA
Rfam family: Eukaryotic small subunit ribosomal RNA
Source: RNAcentral